This is a non-coding RNA of Caenorhabditis elegans, 86 nucleotides long. NCBI's taxonomy places the organism in Eukaryota, Metazoa, Nematoda, Chromadorea, Rhabditida, Rhabditidae. The record is from Ensembl.
AAAAAGUAUUUAGGGGGCACCCGGAGUUGAACCAGGGACCUCUCGAUCUGCAGUCGAAUGCUCUGCCACUGAGCUAUACCCCCACG